UUACCCGCAAAGGUCUCCUCCUCUCCAGAACAAACGGACCCGGUGAUUACAGAGGAGAGCAUAAUGAAAAACACGCCUCUCCAAGUGACCUUGACGAUGAAAGAUUGCAGCAUAUCACAAACUUCUUUGGUGGGACAUGCACUAUAAUCAGCAGAUCACACACACACACCUGUACUAGAUUACCGUUUGUUUGAGUUUGACAGACAGCCUUUGCGGCCAAUCCCUGCCAGACUGUUGUGGUUACAGGCCAAUGGCAGAGGACCUCUGCUUGAGCAGAGCAAGUCAAGCAGCAUGGACAAAGCCCUGCAAUGGAAGCAAAGGGAAAAAGGGGAGAGCAGCAACAGAGAGUCUACGAUCCACAAUGACUAUAUUCUGCACCUGCACCUCCCCAGCUUCUGCUUGAUGAGAGAAUCAAGCAAAUGAGUUGCUUUGGCUGUAUGGAGCGAGAGAACCAACUUGUCCCAAAGGACCAACCCUGUCUACGAGAAAUUAUGUUCAUAUAUGACUAAUAUGCAUCAGCAAAUACGUUUUGCUAGAAACGUAAUGCUGGAUAAAUUAUGUUUUCUGUCAACGUAAAGAGAAAAUGUUGUUCAUUAACAUAUUUGGCAAGUUGCAGAAAUCUUUCAGUAACCUUGAUCAAAGUACUCUUGUUGUCUAAAUCUAACAAUGUCCGGGACUCAGGAUGUGAUGUCUCUGGUAGAGUCCCUGGUAGAGUCUUGUACGUCCACCCUUACCUCCUCUCUCUGAGCUCAGUGUAUUUCAAAUCCAGGCAGUGAUUAUGUUUUUCUAGGUAAUUUCUAAAUAAGUUUGACAGGAUGCAGCCAGCAUUGUUUAUUACUGUUGUAAUAUAUUACUGUUUAGUAGAUGUUUUUUGAUGUAACAUAGCUUCAAUGUAUUAAGCUGCUUUUCUUCAGUAGCUUGUAGUUUAGUUUGCUACUUCCAAUAAAAAUUUAGUGUUCCUGUG
Molecule: long non-coding RNA, 964 nt
Organism: Thunnus maccoyii (southern bluefin tuna)
Lineage: Eukaryota; Metazoa; Chordata; Actinopteri; Scombriformes; Scombridae
Exons: 4
Source: RefSeq, a predicted model, not a curated record